GACGAACGCUGGCGGCGUGCUUAACACAUGCAAGUCGAACGGAAAGGCCCUGCUUUUGUGGGGUGCUCGAGUGGCGAACGGGUGAGUAACACGUGAGUAACCUGCCCUUGACUUUGGGAUAACUUCAGGAAACUGGGGCUAAUAACAGAUAGGAGCUCCUGCUGCUUGGUGGGGGUUGGAAAGUUUCGGCGGUUGGGGAUGGACUCGCGGCUUAUCAGCUUGUUGGUGGGGUAGUGGCUUACCAAGGCUUUGACGGGUAGCCGGCCUGAGAGGGUGACCGGCCACAUUGGGACUGAGAUACGGCCCAGACUCCUACGGGAGGCAGCAGUGGGGAAUAUUGCACAAUGGGCGGAAGCCUGAUGCAGCAACGCCGCGUGCGGGAUGACGGCCUUCGGGUUGUAAACCGCUUUCGCCUGUGACGAAGCGUGAGUGACGGUAAUGGGUAAAGAAGCACCGGCUAACUACGUG
Molecule: ribosomal RNA, 468 nt
Filed under: uncultured bacterium
Lineage: Bacteria
Description: partial 16S ribosomal RNA
Rfam family: Bacterial small subunit ribosomal RNA
Source: RNAcentral